UCGCUCUGGUCCCUCCUCAGGUAUAUUGCGUGCUAAUCUUUCGCCUUUUACUAAAGAUUACCGUGGGGAGGGAUCCUCUCAAAUGAGCCUACAGGCCAAGUUUUGAAAGGCCUUGCCCGUGUGGUCG
Molecule: small nuclear RNA, 127 nt
Organism: Rhipicephalus sanguineus (brown dog tick)
Lineage: Eukaryota; Metazoa; Arthropoda; Arachnida; Ixodida; Ixodidae
Product: U5 spliceosomal RNA
Exons: 1
Source: RefSeq, a predicted model, not a curated record